RNAcentral lists this long non-coding RNA (282 nucleotides) under Pongo abelii (Sumatran orangutan). RNAcentral describes it as "lincRNA". Lineage: Eukaryota; Metazoa; Chordata; Mammalia; Primates; Hominidae. The record is from RNAcentral.
AGGCGCAAAAGUUUGCCAAUGUGUGCGUGGUUGCGUUUAACCCAGAUACCUUGCGGCCGCUGUGCCUCACCAACGUCUGUGGGCGUGGAACAGGCCCUGGGUUCUCCUACUGGGAAAAAUGAAGUUCAGGUACUCUAUGCUAUAUGUGGUUCCACAAUCCUCAGCAUGUUAACUGAAGCCUUGUUGAGUUUAACAAAGGUGCCGUUGAAGAUCUGGGGAAAGUGAAAAAGGUGCGACAGACUUUUGGGCUCACACCAUUGAUACAUUUGAUUCUUAAGGCAA